This 128-nucleotide ribosomal RNA is filed under the name uncultured Dehalobacter sp. Its description in RNAcentral is "partial 16S ribosomal RNA". It matches the Rfam family "Bacterial small subunit ribosomal RNA", at positions 390 to 509 of the family's 1533-position model. Lineage: Bacteria; Bacillati; Bacillota; Clostridia; Eubacteriales; Desulfitobacteriaceae. The record is from RNAcentral.
AGCACGCCGCGUGUAUGAAGAAGGCCUUCGGGUUGUAAAAUACUGUUUGUUAGGGAAGAACGGCUUGAGUGAAGAUAUUGCUUGAGAUUGACGGUACCUAACGAGGAAGCCCCGGCUAACUACGUGCC